AAGUCGUAACAAGGUUUCCGUAGGUGAACCUGCGGAAGGAUCAUUAUUGAAUUUGAAAGGAGUUGUAGCUGGCCUUCCGAGGCAUGUGCACGCUCUGCUCAAUCCACUUACACCUGUGCACCUUUGAAGGUUGUUGUCUCCCUCUUAACGGAGGAGCAGCGGGUAACACUGCUGAGACUUCGCCUUUCUUACACAAACUCUAAAGUUAAUGAAUGUCAUACUUGCUUAACGCAAUUAAAUACAACUUUCAACAACGGAUCUCUUGGCUCUC
Molecule: unclassified non-coding RNA, 271 nt
Filed under: air metagenome
Description: partial contains small subunit ribosomal RNA, internal transcribed spacer 1, and 5.8S ribosomal RNA
Rfam family: Eukaryotic small subunit ribosomal RNA (bases 1-46)
Source: RNAcentral